UCAAACCUGCUGGGGAUAACCAUCCUGACUCUGCUAGGGAAGCCACAGACCUUGAAUCUAUUGGGAAAUUAGUCCUCACAACUCUGCUUGGGGAGAUGAGGAAAUUCCGGUACCGAACACCCGUCGACUCGUCGAGCCAGGGCAUUCCAUAUCCAACCCCAAUGUCAGCUUUCCAAUUUUGAGAACUCCCAGACUCAUCUGGACUUUUCUGAUUCAUCACCUUGUAUUCCCAACUGCUCCGCGCUCGUCGGAGAGCGAAC
Molecule: long non-coding RNA, 260 nt
Filed under: Lathyrus oleraceus (garden pea)
Lineage: Eukaryota; Viridiplantae; Streptophyta; Magnoliopsida; Fabales; Fabaceae
Description: Pisum sativum (pea) long non-coding RNA (PSAT_LNC038818)
Source: RNAcentral